AGUGAACGCUGGCGGUAGGCCUAACACAUGCAAGUCGAACGGCAGCACAGUAAGAGCUUGCUCUUACGGGUGGCGAGUGGCGGACGGGUGAGGAAUACAUCGGAAUCUACUUUUUCGUGGGGGAUAACGUAGGGAAACUUACGCUAAUACCGCAUACGACCUACGGGUGAAAGCAGGGGAUCUUCUGACCUUGCGCGAUUGAAUGAGCCGAUGUCGGGUUAGCUAGUUGGCGGGGUAAAGGCCCACCAAGGCGACGAUCCGUAGCUGGUCUGAGAGGAUGAUCAGCCACACUGGAACUGAGACACGGUCCAGACUCCUACGGGAGGCAGCAGUGGGGAAUAUUGGACAAUGGGCGCAAGCCUGAUCCAGCCAUACCGCGUGGGUGAAGAAGGCCUUCGGGUUGUAAAGCCCUUUUGUUGGGAAAGAAAAGCAGCAGGUUAAUACCCCGCUGUUCUGACGGUACCCAAAGAAUAAGCACCGGCUAACUUCGUG
RNAcentral lists this ribosomal RNA (492 nucleotides) under uncultured bacterium. RNAcentral's name for it is "partial 16S ribosomal RNA". It matches the Rfam family "Bacterial small subunit ribosomal RNA", at positions 29 to 507 of the family's 1533-position model. The record is from RNAcentral.